This 77-nucleotide transfer RNA is filed under the name Firmicutes bacterium ADurb.Bin419. Its description in RNAcentral is "tRNA-Arg". It matches the Rfam family "tRNA". Rfam says of the family: Transfer RNA (tRNA) molecules are approximately 80 nucleotides in length. RNAcentral also lists the same sequence under 2 other names. The record is from RNAcentral. Lineage: Bacteria; Bacillati; Bacillota.
GCACCUAUAGCUCAGCAGGAUAGAGCGACGGUUUCCUAAACCGCAGGCCGGAGGUUCGAAUCCUCUUAGGUGCACCA